GAUGAACGCUGGCGGCGUGCCUAAUACAUGCAAGUCGAGCGAACAGACGAGGCGCUUGCUCCUCUGACGUUACCGACGGACGGGUAAGUAACACGUGGAUAACCUACCUCUAAGACUGGAUCACUUGGAGAAACCGGUGCUACUACCGGAGAAUAUAUUGAACCGCAUGGUUCAAUAGUGAAAGUCGGUGUUGCUGUAGCUCAUAGAUGAAUCCGCGCUGCAUUAGCUAGUUGGUAAGGUAACGGCUUACCAAGGCGACGAUGCGUAGCCGACCUGAGAGGGUGAACGGCCACACUGGGACUGAGACACGGUCCAGACUCCUACGGGAGGCAGAAGUAGGGAAUCUUCCGCAAUGGGCGAAAGCCUGACGGAGCAACGCCGCGUGAGUGAUGAAGGUCUUCGUAUCGUAAAACUCUGUUAUUAGGGAAGAACACAUGUGUAAGUAACUAUGCACGUCUUGACGGUACCUAAUCAGAAAGCCACGGCUAACUACGUG
This 496-nucleotide ribosomal RNA is filed under the name uncultured bacterium. RNAcentral describes it as "partial 16S ribosomal RNA". It matches the Rfam family "Bacterial small subunit ribosomal RNA", at positions 28 to 507 of the family's 1533-position model. The record is from RNAcentral.